UGGGGAAUUUUGCGCAAUGGGGGAAACCCUGACGCAGCAACGCCGCGUGAGUGAUGAAGGCCUUCGGGUCGUAAAGCUCUGUCAGAGGGGAAGAAAUGCAGGGGUGCUAAUAUCAUCUUUGCUUGACGGUACCCUCAAAGGAAGCACCGGUUAACUCCGUGCCAGCAGCCGCGGUAAUACGGAGGGUGCGAGCGUGGCUCGGUAUUAUUGGGCGUAAAGCGCGUGUAGGCGGUUUGAUAAGUCUGAUGUGAAAGCCCCGGGCUCAACCUGGGAAGUGCAUUGGAAACUGUCAGACUUGAAUACGGGAGAGGAUAGUGGAAGUCCUAGUGUAGGAGUGAAAUCCGUAGAUAUUAGGAAGAACACCGGUGGCGAAGGCGGCUACCUGGACCGCUAUUGACGCUGAGACGCGAAAGCGUGGG
Molecule: ribosomal RNA, 419 nt
Filed under: uncultured bacterium
Lineage: Bacteria
Description: bacterial SSU rRNA
Rfam family: Bacterial small subunit ribosomal RNA
Source: RNAcentral